ACUACCAAAAGCUAAUAAAACCUAAAGAAAUUCCCAUUUCUAGCGGAACAUCACAACACGUGAAUUAUCUACCUUUUAAUUCAGAAUAAUUAUUUUUAUAAAAAUACUGAAUAAAUAAAUUAAAGUUUUUAACGUUAAAAGAUGAGUUUGCGCAAGAUUAAUGGUAGUUGGUUGUUUAAUAGACUACUAAGCCUAUUAUCUUUAGCUGGUUUGAAAGAAUGAUCAGCCACAUUGGGACUGAGACACGGCCCAAACUUUUUUAAAGGCAGCAGUGGGGAAUUUUGGACAAUGAGCGAAAGCUUGAUCCAG
This 309-nucleotide non-coding RNA is filed under the name Hyaloperonospora arabidopsidis Emoy2. RNAcentral describes it as "Bacterial small subunit ribosomal RNA". It matches the Rfam family "Bacterial small subunit ribosomal RNA", at positions 72 to 391 of the family's 1533-position model. Lineage: Eukaryota; Oomycota; Peronosporomycetes; Peronosporales; Peronosporaceae. The record is from Rfam by way of RNAcentral.